Molecule: ribosomal RNA, 301 nt
Filed under: uncultured bacterium
Lineage: Bacteria
Description: partial 16S ribosomal RNA
Rfam family: Bacterial small subunit ribosomal RNA
Source: RNAcentral
CAGUAGCCACGGGAAUACGAAGGGGGCUAGCGUUGCUCGGAAUCACUGGGCGUAAAGGGUGCGUAGGCGGGUCUUUAAGUCAGGGGUGAAAUCCUGGAGCUCAACUCCAGAACUGCCUUUGAUACUGAAGAUCUUGAGUUCGGGAGAGGUGAGUGGAACUGCGAGUGUAGAGGUGAAAUUCGUAGAUAUUCGCAAGAACACCAGUGGCGAAGGCGGCUCACUGGCCCGAUACUGACGCUGAGGCACGAAAGCGUGGGGAGCAAACAGGAUUAGAUACCCCCGUAGUCCCUGUCUCUUAUAC